RNAcentral lists this ribosomal RNA (119 nucleotides) under Rhinopithecus bieti (black snub-nosed monkey). Lineage: Eukaryota; Metazoa; Chordata; Mammalia; Primates; Cercopithecidae. The record is from RNAcentral.
AUCUACAGCCAUACCACCCUGAACGCGCCCGAUCUCUUCUGAUCUCGGAAGCUAAGCAGGGUCAGGCCUAGUUAGUACUUGCAUGGGAGACCGCCUGGAAAUACCAGGUGCUGUAUGCU